UGUCAUAGAUUAAGCCAUGCCAUGUUAGUUCAGGUAACGAAACUGCGAAUAGCUCAUUAAUACGCUCAGAAUCUAUUUGACGGCAACCUUACAGGUUUUAAAUGGAUAGCAGCAGCAACUCUGGUGCUAAUACAUGCGAUUGUUUCUCCAGAAGUGAAUUAUGGAGGAAAAGUUGACCUCAUUCGAGGCACGUCAUUCGACUGAGUGACCUAUCAGCUAGUACUUAGGGUCUUUACCUAGGUAGGCUAUCACGGGUAACGGGCGGUUACCGUCGGACUGCCGGAGAAGGCGCCUGAGAGAUAGCGACUAUAUCCACGGGUAGCAGCAGGCGCGAAACUUUCCCACUCGAGACAUUCGGAGGAGGUAAUGACCAGUUUCAUGUAAAGCUUAUGCUUUUGUGAAUAGGAUCACACUUUUCCAGUGUGGUGAAACCUAGCAGAGGGCCAGUCUGGUGCCAGCAGCUGCGGUAAUUCCAGCUCUGCGAGUUUGCUCCCAUAUUGUUGCAGUUAAAACGCCCGUAGUCUGAAUUGGCCUGCAAAGGUCUUACGUUUUUUUCUCAGGCAGCAAUGUCUGAGAAACGUUCACUGUGAACAAAUCAGGACGCUUAGAGUAUGGUUACAAGAAUGACUCAGCGCAGUAUGAAUUUUUUGUUUUCUUCGGAAAACAAGCUCAACGAGUAGCCAUCGGGGGUAGAUCUAUCUCAUGACGAGUGGUGGAAUACGGUGACUCAUGAGAGAGACACGGAGGCGAAGGCGUCUACCUAGAGGGUUUCUGUCGAUCAAGGGCGAGAGUAGGAGUAUCCAACAGGAUUAGAGACCCUGGUAGUUCCUACUAUAAACGAUGCCGACAGGAGUUUGUCAUUUAAUAACUGGCAGAAUCUUUGGAGAAAUCAUAGUUCUUGGGCUCUGGGGGAACUACGACCGCAAGGCUGAAACUUGAAGGAAUUGACGGAAGGGCACACCAGGGGUGGAGCCUGUGGCUUAAUUUGAAUCAACACGGGGAAACUUACCAGGACCAGAUGUUUUUUAUGACUGACAGGCUUUGGGUCUUUCAGGAUAUGAUUUUUGGUGGUGCAUGGCCGUUGGUGGUGCGUGGGUUGACCUGUCUAGCGUUGAUUCAGCUAACGAGCGAGAUUAUCGCCAAUUAUAUACUACGCCUAGGUUUCUAGGUUGCAGUUCUAAUUGGGACUCCCUGCGAUUUUAGCAGGCGGAAGAGGGUAGCAAUAACAGGUCCGUGAUGUCCUUUAGAUGCUCUGGGCUGCACGCGUGCUACAAUGUUAGGAUCAAUAGGAAAUAUUUUAUAUACUCUGCAAACCUGAAAGGGCGAGCUACUCCUAUAAUCCCUAACGUAGUUGGGAUUGACGUUUGUAAUCAGCGUCAUGAACCAGGAAUCCCUUGUAAAUGUGUGUCAACAUCGCACGUUGAAUACGUCCCUGCCCUUUGUACACACCGCCCGUCGCUCCUACCGAUUGGAUGACUCGGUGAAAUCACCGGAUUCACUUAGGUGAAGAAAGUGAUUAAAUCACGUUAUCUAGAGGAAGGAGAAGUCGUACAAAGGGUAACGGAAAAAACCUUGUUCU
RNAcentral lists this ribosomal RNA (1579 nucleotides) under Tetratrichomonas buttreyi. Its description in RNAcentral is "SSU rRNA". It matches the Rfam family "Eukaryotic small subunit ribosomal RNA". The record is from RNAcentral. Lineage: Eukaryota; Parabasalia; Trichomonadida; Trichomonadidae.